CCUGCCAAAACCAAAAAUCAGUGUAAGCCCUUCACCGUUCAGCUGGAUAAAUUACAUUCUUGGUUAAGCUUUCAUGUGGACAAACAGCAUAUUUAUGUUCUCCAGCAAAAUACAAAAUGUUUAAUCAUAUCCUUCACUGAAAUAAUCAGAAAAAAAAUGUUACCGUUUAAGGCUGUUCGCUUUUCAAGCCACUGUGGAAAUACUGCAAUUCAAUCCAAAUGGAGGGCAGGAGAAAUUCAGGAGACAUACAGCAGCAUGUUGUCAAAAACUUGUCUUAUAGCUGCUUGGAUGUUCUUAGGAAAACUUUUUCCUUAUUUAAAGUUUUCUCUGCUCAUUUACUGCUCUUUCUCAGGACAACAUUAGCUCAGAUAGCUGAGUUCUCAGUUUCUGCACAGCCUGUAACUUUUCAUAGGUUUCAGCGACAGCGCCCAAUCCUUUGUGUAUCUGGCCCUGUAAGCCUACUGUUUAACCUGACAGAUGUGUGGAUCUGCUCUGCAUAGAAACACAAAGCUAAAGUAAGUGAGAAUGUCAGGAGAAUUGCACACUGUAGUUUAAAAUGUCAUUAUCACUUACAUCAGAUCCUUAAUUACCCAUGAAAUAUUAAUCUGCCCAGAUGGAAUAUAUUUAAUAGUUAAACUCUUUUUUCUACAAUGAGUUUACAGCAUUGAUGAAUAACAGAAGAUGGACUGAUGUCAUCUACCUGGACUUGUGCAAAGCAUUUGACACUGUCCCACACAACAUCCUUUCUCUGGAUUGGGAAGACAUGCAUAUGAUGGAUGGAACACUCAGUGCAUAAGGAAUUAGCUGGAUGGUCACACUCAAAAGACUUGCAAUCAACAGCUCGAUGUCCAAGUGGAGACCAGUGACAAGUGAUAUUCCUCAGGGAUCGGUGUUGGGUCUCUCACUGUUUAACACCUUUGUUGGUGACAUGGACAUUGGAAUUGAGCACGCCCUCAGCAGGUUUGUUGCUCUGGGGUCGCCAGCAUAAGAAAGACAUGCAGCUAUUGGAGCAAGUCCAGAAGAGGCCACAAAGAUGAUCCGAGGUCUGGGGCACCUCUGCUAUGGAGAGAGGCUGAGAGAGUUGGAGUUCAGCCUGGAGAAGAGAAGGCUCUGAGGACACCUUAGAGCAGCUUCCAGUGCCUAAAGGGGCUACAAGAAAUCUGGAGAGGGACUUUUAACAAGGGCAGGGAGGUCUGAGAUCAACAAAGGACUGCCCACAGUUCCCUAGUAUCUAGGAACAGUGCAUCCAACUGGGUUAACCAUGCAAAGUGACUUUCUGUUCCUGAUCCUAGAACUACCUUUUCCUGUAUCCUUUCAUGGAUGUUGCAAUCCUCCAAAAAGGUAUUGGUGCCAUCACCAGAGGUAGCAGGACUUGCGUUCACCCUGUCCUUUCUGAAGGAGACACAAAUCCACACCUCCCACUUCCAGAAGCAUACACCAGUUCCCAAUUGUAGAGUUUGCUGGAUUGGAUCCUUCACAGGCUCUUCUGCUAAACAUAAUUUUGCAUAAAGUUCAUAAAAUCUGAAAGCCUUAA
This is a long non-coding RNA of Pezoporus flaviventris, 1534 nucleotides long. RefSeq lists it as uncharacterized. The transcript has 2 exons. The record is from RefSeq and is a predicted model, not a curated record. Lineage: Eukaryota; Metazoa; Chordata; Aves; Psittaciformes; Psittacidae.